This 198-nucleotide ribosomal RNA is filed under the name uncultured bacterium. RNAcentral describes it as "partial 16S ribosomal RNA". It matches the Rfam family "Bacterial small subunit ribosomal RNA", at positions 328 to 539 of the family's 1533-position model. The record is from RNAcentral.
ACGCUCGACACCUACGGGAGGCNGCAGUGGGGAAUAUUGCACAAUGGGGGAAACCCUGAUGCAGCGACGCCGCGUGGAGGAAGAAGGUCUUCGGAUUGUAAACUCCUGUUGUUGGGGAAAAAGAGGAUGGUACCCAACAAGGAAGUGACGGCUAACUACGUGCCAGAAGCCGCGGUAAUCUGAGCGGGCUGGCAAGGC